AGUUGUGAGUUCAUUUUUGGCUACCCGUCUUUCUCUCCGAGUCACCAAAAUACGCAUCUUCUACUCCUUCCUUCUCUUCAUACUUCUACCGCGCGCACGUCACCUCAAAGCAAACACGAUGCUCCGCCGUCUUCCCACCAGCUGCUUCCUGAAGCGCUCGCAGUUCCGCGGGUUCGCGGCUACGUCGCCGCUUUUGAAUCUGGACUAUCAGAUGUACCGUACAGCGACUGUCCGUGAAGCUGCGCCACAGUUUUCCGGCCAGGCUGUCGUGAAUGGGGCAAUUAAGGAGAUAAACAUGAACGACUACAAGGGCAAGUACAUUGUGCUGUUUUUCUAUCCGAUGGACUUCACCUUCGUUUGCCCGACCGAGAUCAUUGCGUUUUCGGAUCGCCACGCCGACUUUGAGAAGCUAAACACGCAGGUUGUUGCGGUGUCGUGCGAUUCGGUGUACUCUCACCUGGCGUGGGUGAACACGCCACGCAAAAAGGGUGGCCUCGGUGAAAUGCACAUCCCCGUACUGGCGGACAAGUCGAUGGAGAUCGCUCGUGACUAUGGUGUGCUGAUCGAGGAAUCCGGUAUCGCUCUUCGAGGGCUCUUUAUCAUCGACAAGAAGGGCAUCCUGCGCCACUCAACGAUAAAUGACCUUCCUGUGGGCCGCAACGUGGACGAGGCACUGCGCGUGCUGGAGGCUUUCCAGUACGCGGACGAGAAUGGAGAUGCGAUCCCGUGCGGAUGGAAGCCUGGACAGCCCACGCUGGACACCACAAAAGCAGGCGAGUUUUUCGAGAAGAACAUGUGAUGUCUUUCACCUAUACACAUGCUUUAUAUAUUCUCGGCUUUCCUCCUGAGAGAGGAAAGAAAGCUUUUUUUUGAAAGAAAAACGUAACGCGCUGAUAGGGGAGAGAAACAAAAACAACCGCAGCCGAGACAUUUUUUCGAGGAGGUAGAGAAAACCCAUCGGUGUCUAGAAGGCAAUACCGCACUGUGGGACAGUGACAGAGGUCGGAGAGGAGAGAGGGGGAAGCUAAAGUGAGUGCUGCAUCAUGUGUGCAUGUCUCUCUGGCUGCUUCUCAACUUUUCGUUCCGGCUUUCACUCGACUGUGCUCCUGCUUCAGACCUUCUUCUUGGGAUCAUUCGACGUGUCUUUCUUUUGGCACUUUUUCUUUUAUCAGUGACUGAUACGGACGCUGUGCUGCAGAG
RNAcentral lists this unclassified non-coding RNA (1200 nucleotides) under Leishmania donovani. RNAcentral's name for it is "gene:LdHU3.23.0070(CDS-product:peroxidoxin)". The record is from RNAcentral. Lineage: Eukaryota; Euglenozoa; Kinetoplastea; Trypanosomatida; Trypanosomatidae.